GUUGUUGGUUGAAGAAUGGUUCACCUGCCAAAUACAUCACCCUCUAAGUUAUCUGAAUACAAACACAUCUUGACUUCUUAAAAAAAAAUCACAUGGUUUAAAAGAGAAGUUAAUUUAAAAAGUGCAGAAUGUGUAUAUGAGAAGACUACAGAGGAAGCAGCCAUUCUCCCAGGUCUUUAUCCUUUUUGGCUCCAGGUAAAUGAAUAUAAAUCCAUUCAGAUCGUUGCUCUGAGAUUCAGUUACUCAUGGGCAGGGUUCUAAUCGCGUCACUACAACUUGUAUCUAAGAGGUUGAUUUAAUAAUACUGGAAAGUGCAAAAUGUGGUGAAGCUCUGCCUAGCAAUCAAUCAGCUUCCAUUUAUUUAUUUUUUUGUCAAAGUUCAAUUCUACAAAUUGAAGGUAGAAACUGAUUGGUGUGCUGUGCAUGGUAGCCAGAUUUUGCACUCCAGUUUUAGUAAAUCAACCCCUAAUGGUCAUAAAGCAUUUCUGCCUGUAGACUGGUCAGCCUAAAGAUCCUUGCCUCACAACUUCUACAUUAUCUGGAUGAAAACGUUUCCUGCUGAUGCCCACACAUAGCUAAUGCUGUUGCGUAUCAGGACUAAAACAAAGGGGAACUGCUCCUCUUGAGGACAACUGAACACCUGUGCCAGCCCUGAGGCUUGCACCACUAAAAACAAUUCAGCAAAGACGGGUCCCAUCAUACACAGCAUCCAGUAUGGUAAUAGUUUUUAUUCACUGGGGGGGGAGACAAGGAAUCUGGUUUGCUAUGGACAACACUUCUGUUUUGAUUGGUAUUCAUAAACCAGGCCAAUGAGCUUGGUGCAGUUUAAUAAUUUAUUCAUAAAAUUACACAACAGCAGCUUAUAGCAGCAAUAAGGGAACAAAAAAAAAUAGCCCAAACAAUGUAGGUCGCAACUCCAAGGUUUAAUAAAAAUUUUUUUUUUUUUUUUU
Long non-coding RNA from Rana temporaria (common frog), 950 nucleotides. RefSeq lists it as uncharacterized. The transcript has 2 exons. Lineage: Eukaryota; Metazoa; Chordata; Amphibia; Anura; Ranidae. The record is from RefSeq and is a predicted model, not a curated record.